UUACCUGCAGUCGCACGAGAAAGUGGAGCAAUCCAUGAGUAAAGUGGCGUACGGGUGAGUAACACGUGGGUAAUCUACCUCUUAGUGGGGAAUAACCUGGGGAAACCCGGGCUAAUACCGCAUAAGCUCGAGAGAGGAAAGCAGCAAUGCGCUGAGAGAGGAGCCCGCGGCCGAUUAGCUAGUUGGCAGGGUAAAAGCCUACCAAGGCAGAGAUCGGUAGCCGGCCUGAGAGGGCACACGGCCACACUGGCACUGAAACACGGGCCAGACUCCUACGGGAGGCAGCAGUGGGGAAUCUUGCACAAUGGGGGGAACCCUGAUGCAGCGACGCCGCGUGAGCGAUGAAGCCCUUCGGGGUGUAAAGCUCUUUCGGCAGGGAAGAUGAUGACGGUACCUGCAGAAGCAGCUGCGGCUAACUACGUGCCAGCAGCCGCGGUAAUACGUAGGCAGCGAGCGUUGUUCGGAGUUACUGGGCGUAAAGGGUGUGUAGGCGGUUCUUUAAGUUUGGUGUGAAAUCUCCCGGCUCAACCGGGAGGGUGCGCCGAAUACUGAGGGACUUCGAGUGCGGGAGAGGAAAGUGGAAUUCCUGGUGUAGCGGUGAAAUGCGUAGAUAUCAGGAGGAACACCGGUGGUGUAGACGGCUUUCUGGACCGUAACUGACGCUGAGACACGAAAGCGUGGGUAGCAAACAGGAUUAGAUACCCUGGUAGUCCACGCCCUAAACGAUGCAUAUUUGGUGUGGGUCAUUCAGUUGAUCCGUGCCGGAGCUAACGCGUUAAAUAUGCCGCCUGGGGAGUACAGUCGCAAGGCUGAAACUCAAAGGAAUUGACGGGGGCCCGCACAAGCGGUGG
RNAcentral lists this ribosomal RNA (851 nucleotides) under uncultured bacterium. RNAcentral's name for it is "bacterial SSU rRNA". It matches the Rfam family "Bacterial small subunit ribosomal RNA", at positions 51 to 935 of the family's 1533-position model. The record is from RNAcentral.